UGGGGAAUUUUCCGCAAUGGGCGAAAGCCUGACGGAGUGACGCCGCGUGGGGGACGAAGGCCUUCGGGUCGUAAACCCCUGUCAGAGGGAAAGAAGGGUGUCGGCGUGAAUAGCGCCGGCAUUUGACGGUACCUUCAGAGGAAGCCCCGGCCAACUCUGUGCCAGCAGCCGCGGUAAGACAGAGGGGGCAAGCGUUGCUCGGAAUCACUGGGCGUAAAGGGCGCGUAGGCGGGAUGGCAAGUCGGUCGUGAAAUCCUUCGGCUCAACCGAAGAACGUCGGCCGAUACUGCCGUUCUUGAGGGAUGCAGAGGAGAUUGGAAUUCCCGGUGUAGCGGUGAAAUGUGUAGAGAUCGGGAGGAACACCGGUGGCGAAGGCGGGUCUCUGGGCAUUUCCUGACGCUGAGGCGCGAAAGCGUGGGGAGCAAACGGGAUUAGAUACCCCCGUAGUCC
RNAcentral lists this ribosomal RNA (450 nucleotides) under uncultured bacterium. Its description in RNAcentral is "bacterial SSU rRNA". It matches the Rfam family "Bacterial small subunit ribosomal RNA", at positions 355 to 796 of the family's 1533-position model. The record is from RNAcentral.